GCGUGCUGUUUUGUUUUCCCCGCGUUGCGCCGUGCACAAUGCUCAGUGAGAGUGAUAGCAUGAGCAGAGAUUAUGACUCCGACUUCGAAGAGCGGCCCAUUGAACGACAACACACAAUAAAGGCAUAUGCGCACGAUCCGUCUCCUUCAUAUAGCGACGACGAUCAACCGCAGCAGUCCCCCUCUGCGGUGCCGAGGGAGCCAGGACCAAUGACGUGAAAAUUUCAGACAGCUCAUCAGCAACUUGCAAACGACGGUGGUAAAUGUGCCUCAGAAGAUGUACCAUCGAGGGCAAACAAAGUGCGGACGGUGUAACAUGUGGCCGAAACAUAAAUAAAGUAAUAAAGAAAGCAUCAUGUGGUAACCCGGAAGGUGGAGUUAUAUGAAGAGGAAAGAUAAAAUGAGUCAUCCACCAACCAUAGAAAGCUGCUACAAAGGAAAGCCCUACAUGGUCGUCGGAAAACCUUAACAAACUUACCACAUGCUUCAGACAGCCUCCUUGAUUCAGCAUUGCUUCGACAAGUGGACUCCAAAGACAACUUCUAUUUCCGAAGAGCUGGUACAUAGCUGAAGCAUCCCUCGCUGGCCCGCUGUUGGUGAAUUAAUACUUCUGUCCUCCUGUGAGUCCUUCAUCUCAUUUCCUCCAUUAGCGCGGAAGAU
Dermacentor albipictus is the source of this 659-nucleotide long non-coding RNA. RefSeq lists it as uncharacterized. The record is from RefSeq and is a predicted model, not a curated record. Lineage: Eukaryota; Metazoa; Arthropoda; Arachnida; Ixodida; Ixodidae.